GACGAACGCUGGCGGCGUGCUUAACACAUGCAAGUCGAACGGAAAGGCCCUGCUUUUGUGGGGUGCUCGAGUGGCGAACGGGUGAGUAACACGUGAGUAACCUGCCCUUGACUUUGGGAUAACUUCAGGAAACUGGGGCUAAUACCGGAUAGGAGCUCCUGCUGCAUGGUGGGGGUUGGAAAGUUUCGGGGAUUGGGGAUGUACUCGGGGCUUAUCAGCUUGUGGGUGGGGUAGUGGCUUACCAAGGCUUUGAGGGCUAGCCGGCCUGAGAGGAGGAACGGCCACAAUUGCACCGGGAGGCGGCAGAGGGGCAUAUGGGAGGAAGGAGGGGGGAAUAGUGCAGAAGGGGCGGGUGCGUGAUGAAGGUCCGCGGAGUGCGAAACGCUGUAAUUUGGGUUGAAGACCAGUAAGGUAUGUCACGAAGGGUGUGAGACGGCAAGGAGAAAAGAAGCAGCGGAUAACUGUG
RNAcentral lists this ribosomal RNA (466 nucleotides) under uncultured bacterium. Its description in RNAcentral is "partial 16S ribosomal RNA". It matches the Rfam family "Bacterial small subunit ribosomal RNA", at positions 28 to 505 of the family's 1533-position model. The record is from RNAcentral.